CACAUACUUAGAGCGUGCCAUGACAGCCUUGUUUGGUUGUUUUUUCCACCAAGCUCUACUUUUGCAGGCUGAUGGCUGAGGACUGUAAUCUUUGCAACCUUUCUUAUAAUGAGUAAUUCUUAUGUUAAAUGUCCAGUGUUUAAUGUUUUCAGAGACUGGUUUGGUAGUUUAUGUUUUCUGUUCCAGCUUUUAUGAAUGUGAAGUUUUCUGCUCUUGCAUCCGGUUUGGAAUACCUUUCAGGACGGCUGGGGCCUUUAGCACUGCACUGUGUUAUUCUGGUUUACAUUGGGAGACUUUGAAAGAAUGAUUGUAAUGUUGGUCGCUACUAAUAGUGGCAUGAAAGUUUGGUAAAAUUCUGGUUCUUUCAUGGGACAUGAGGAGAAGUUUUGUUCAUUUCAUGAACUCCAGCAAUUUAAAAAAGUUGUAGUCUUGUAUGAUAAGUUGGGAUGAUGUUGCGUUCUCUCUUCUUUCCAACCUCAAGAGGGCUGGUCUUGGACCUCGGUGCUACGGUAUGUUGUAACGUGCAGGCUAUCUCGUGUUUUUGUUGAAAUCCUAGUGACAGUAAGGAUUCUUUUAUGUUUUGAUUGGAACAAGUAUUGAUAAGGUGCUAGAAUCUAGCUUGUUAGGCUUUUUAACCACUUUUCAUAGGGGUUAUGCCAAAUAGGGAAUUAGCUUCUUUUCUUGAUAUUGCGUCUUUGAUGGAUGUUAAGCCAUUUUUCCUCUCAUUUUCUAUUUUUAGUUAUAUAUGUGUUUGCCGGUUGAAACCGACGUUGUAUUUAGUUAAUGCUUGAAUCUCUCCGUAUCCGUCCGUCUGGUCCUUGGGAUGGUGAUCGUGCUUUGACUUGUUCAGGUUUGCUUUUAUGCCAAAAUCAUGUAUUUUUGUAAUAAUGAGUAGAAGGCCUCUUUGCCCUGCUGGUGUGUUUGGUGCCAGAUGUUUGGUAGGUUAAUAGCUCAGAUCCUGGUAGAGGAACGUGAUAGGCAUAAAUGCGCAGAUUAUUCGAGCAUUAUUUUCAGUAUGGAGAGUGGAUCGUUCGCGUAAUUGCUUGGGCCAUGUGGGCACGGUGAUCGUAUCAUACAAAUAUGCAUAUCAUUUGAGCUGUCAAUCAAUUCUUUAGUUUGUAGCUGGAAAAAUAACUUGUGAAAAGGGAGAUCUGCUUAUAUUCAUCGCAGAAUAUCCAGUGUAUCUGGAGAUGUUUAUUGAGUACGAGCUAUGCAAUCAUUAUAUAUAUAUAUAUAUAUAUAUAUAUAUUGNNNNNNNNNNNNNNNNNNNNUGGAGAUGUUUCGAUUGAGUACGAGCUAUGCAAUACAUUAUAUAUAUAUAUAUAUAUAUAUAUAUAUUGCAGACUCCAAAUGGUUGGAAGGAGAUUGGAUGGUUAUGAUAUGGUACUUCAGGGGCGGCUCCGAGAAGGCUCAGCUAAAGAGGAGCCAUAACCCAGCAGCUUGUCUACAUUCCUGCCGGUCAAUUUUGGAUUCGUUCCAGCGCUAGUUUAGGUGUUGAGCCGGGCGGGGUGCAAUCCUGGUCCGUAGUUGCAUGGACCGCUCCUUGAGCCCAAGAUUGUCGCAACUGAGCCUCUCCAGAUAGGGGUGUACAUGGUUUAGUUUGAUAUGAUUUGAAAAUAUUUUUAAAUUAAAUUAAUAAAUUAUAUUUUAUCAAUUUUAUAAAUCAAAUGAGAUCAUUUUGUCACUCAAAUCAGACUAAACCAAUGAAUUACGGUUUGAUCUGGUUUGAUUAACGGUUUGACAUAUUAUAAUAUUGGUGGUAGAAAAUUUUGAAAAAAAAAUAUUCUAGUCAAAAAAAAAAUUGAAAUUAUUAUGAUAGCUUUCGGACCAAUGUAUAGCUCCGGUCUCUGAAAUCAUUAAAAUGAAGAUUAUGCCUUUAAAUCUUAUUGCUGCUAUAUAAGUAUAUUUAUCAAUUAUGCGGUAUUAUUUAAAAUUUAUAAAUGCACAAUCAAACAAAAAUACCUAUAAGUUUCAGAAAAUUCAGAUUAUACAAUGCUGUAAAGAGCAAAGUAAAAUUAUUAUUACUAAAAAAAGUAUUAAAAUUUUUUAGAUCAAGAGACUAAAAAUUUGAUAUUUAGUUCUUUAAUGCUUCAACUAGAAAUUAAAAGUGUUGCACUAUAAAAAUUGUUUGGUGUGAAAUAUAUAAAAAAAAAUUACAAACCUUGUCAAAGCAGUCUCUAGCUACUUCAAUCUUCAUUACUUUGAAGUAUUUUAACCAGAAAUCAAUUGCCACUAUUGUUUUCAUUUCAUUGCUGUGGUUCUUUUUUUCUAUUGUUCUCUGAACUCCAAGUAACUUAAGAAUCGGAGUGUGUCCUACCGAAUGAAUUCCAGCAAGAAGAUUUCUUUGUAGGAAUAUUCUCCAUCGAAAGCAAGGCGUGACUUACUCAGCACUAGACCAAGGUCUUCGUCGGGGUUUAGUGGCAAUAGAAAUUUUUCAUCAUUCAAGGCAUUCUAAUUUAGAAUUAAAUCUAGAUUUUUUAAAUAAUACUUGAUUUGCCCUUUGUCCUUUAAAAAUUAUCUCACGUGUGAAAGAUGAUCUCCUUCUUAUAAAGACGAGUCCCUCUUGACUAACCACCGAUGUAGAAUUAUUUAUGCCCUCCAUAUUAUUAGAACUAUAUUAUUAGGACCUCGACUCACAAUCAAUGUAGGAUUAUUGGUGCCCUCCACAUUAUUAGAAUCACGUUAUUAAGACCUUGACCCCUAUCUGGGAGGGCAUUAUUAUGGAUAAAGGCUCAAUCCGACACGUGAGGUAUUAUCCGUUCUGGCCGAUGGGCCUCAUGGUUUUGUCAUUUGAAAGGUGCCUCAAGUGGAAAAGAUAAUCCCUUCCUUAUAAGCGCGAGUCUCUCUAGACUCACAAUCGAUGUAAAACUAUUGGUAUCCUCUACAUUAUUUAAACCACAAUAGUAUAAAUAAAAAAAUAUUCAUAAAUCAUCUAUUUUUUAGAUAGCUUGUAAGAAAAAUUAUAAAUAAAUAUAGUUGUAAAUAGAAGUUAUGAAUAUUUGUAAAUAUUUUUAGUCAUCAAUUUUUUUAAAAACAUCUAAAAUUAUUUUUUUAUCAAAAAAAUUUUAUAUUUUAUGAAAAAUAAUGAUUAAAAUAUUAAAUAUAACAAUAUAAAUGAAAUAGUUGUUUAAUGAUCGGAAAGCUUACCAAUAAGUUUGAAAAGAAUGAUCCAUAUAAGUUAGAUAUAAGGCCGCAAGGCCGCAAACGAGGGAUCGAUCCAUGACCUGACCUUAUUUGACCCAUUUAGACUCGAUCUGCAUCUGAUUUAAGGACCCAUGAGGUCAGAUUGGUUAUCAAAUUUGGACUUAUUCCACAUUUUGAGUCAGGUCUAUAUUUAUUGAGUUAUAAGCCAACCCGACUCGCUUAUUGUCUAAGUUUGAUUGGAGCCUUACCUAUGACCCGACCUGACUUAACCUGAACCCAUUUUUAGAACUUCGGAUCAGUUUGAACCAAAAAAAAUGAAUACACACCCCUACUUUCUUUCUCUUUCAUCCCUUCUAGCUAAGAUUUCUACUUUUCACUUCGUACUUUUUUCUUUACGACUAUCUCUUCUAUAAUUCCACCAUCUCUCAUACCACCAUUGGUAUCUCUCUCUACCAUCACCAACUCCAAAGUUUCCGCCAUGGCCAUCACCACCACCAAAUCUACCAUCGCCACCCCUUAUGACCCUUGAGAAGUGAAGCUAUUUUCAUAAAGUAUAAGUUAGGAAGGCAAAUCUUUCUUAUAUAUGUAAUGGCAUAUCAAAGAUAUGAAACUCCUUCAACUAUACUAAGCCCUUGAAUUUGUCUCCUCCUUAGACAUCUAGAAGAUGAGGUGCAAAUGGUGAGGAUUUUGGAGAAGAUAGUGAUGGAGGGAAUGAAGAAAAAUGGGAAGUAAAAACUAUAACUAGAAGAGGAGGAAAAGAUGGAAGAAAGAGUUAAAACCCUAGCUAGAAGAGGAGAAAAAAAGGGAAGAAGAGUUCAAUCCCUAGCUAAAAGAGGAAAAAAGAAAGGAGUUUAGGAUUCCACAUCAACUAAUUCUAUGCCACAUCAGCUUUCACUAUAUGUUAUGUGAUGUCAUAUGGCCAUUUCUAUCACUGUCUUUAGACGAAAAUAGUAGUCGGAGGAGAAAUUGUAAUAUUUUAAAAAUUUGAUGAUUUGAUUACAAUGAAUCGAAUUUCAGGAUAAAAAUGAAAAUCUCAAAAAGUUUAAGAUUUUUAAAGUGAUUAAGCCUUCUAUCUAAUAUCUCUCUUUCUUAUCCACAUUCACAAGAUGCACCAAUACACCUAUGAUAAUUAAUCUUCAAUCCUGAUGGCCCUUCUUAUAGAUAUAAAAUCAUCUUGAGAUGUCUAUUUUCUUUCCUUGGUGCCACAAAAAAAACACCAUAUCAUUACCAUAUUGCAAUUUUAUAAUGCCUCCUAGUGUCAACUGCCUGUGCAACUCAGUCAAAAGCUUAUGUCGAACAACACUGGACAACAUCCAGGGGAGGGCAUCUAUGCAAGGGCAAACAAGAGCAGCAAGGGGGGACCAUCAUUGUCGACACAUGACCAUUCAGCUGACCUAUCCAUUCAUAGAUGGUGAGAUCCUACCCAAGCAUACCACAACCUCCAUCUAGGUAAUCCAUUUAUGACCAAAUCCCUUUGGUCACAGCAUUUCAUAUAAAAAGUUUUAUCAUAUGCCUUCUCAAAAUCCGACUUCACUAACGCUCCCUCUUGUGUCGACAGCAAGCGACGGCCAUGCAAGCAAAACAAUCAAGAAUGAAUCUUUUUGGAAUGCACUAUGUGAGUUGGCGUCCAACUCUUUAGUGACAGCUCGAAGCCUUAUAGCAAGUACUCAAGUCAUAAUCGUGAAAGCCACAUUCAACAUAUUAAUGGCCCUAAACUAUAGCAACUAACAAGCCCCCUCCACUUUGGGAAUCAAAGGAAGGGCAUAAUUUAGACCAUAUCUUUCCUUCGACUUGUUAUAGAACUGCGAGUACAUUGGUAGCAAGUCACCUUUUAUGUUAUUCCAAUUUCCAUUACCUAGUCAUUCUUAGUAAUCCGAGGUCUUGAAAGGGGUAAAAUGGGGACAAAUCUAAUUUUUAGCAUUUUUCUAUACAAAGUGGCUAGCCCAAGAUAUACUCAUACUAUUAUGUUUGUCAACCUAAGCCUUUUAUUAUUCCACCACACAAUAGAUGCCUUUUACUAUGUUCCAGUAACUUUGAAAAAAUAAAAGAGAAAACCUGUCCGACCCUGACACCUUCCCCACAAUAAGGUCAAAGGCAACUGCUCAGACCUCUCCAUGAAAUCAUCGCCUAACAAAUCAAGAUUCAAGAGUCUAUCCCCUAAACCAUAUAGGGUUGACCCAUGAGUGCGCAACCUCCAUGGACUCACCAUAAAGAACAUAUACAUAAAGUGCUCGUGCAUUGCCUCAAGGACAAUGGCUAAUCAAUAAUUUCCUUCAACCUUAGUUGAAGGAGAUGAUGGAAUUUCUUUGGCAUUAUCUCAAGGCUACGUGAUGGACAAAAGUAGUGUUUGAAUCAUCCUCUUUCAGCCAAAGUGCCAAUGACUAUUGCUUCCAAAUGAUUUCCUUGUGCUUAAACAUUUGUCGGAGUUCAUAGCUUGCCUCAACUCUCAAGGAUCUCUUCACUUCAGAUAAAGGCCUAUGCUCCUCUGCAUGUAACCAGGUGAUUGAAUCAAGUUCUGCUUUCGAGCCCAAAUAAAACAAAAUUUUUUUAGCAACACCUUCAAAGCAGCCUUAGUCUUCUAACUUGAGCCCCUCACCACACCACACAUUUGGUUCUAUUGCUCUCCCAUCAUUCCCAUAGUGGAAGGUCAAAGUCUAGUGGCUCAAUUCAUGUCCUUAUGAACCAGAAGAUGCAAUCGAGCUUGAAGCUAGCAUCUAUAAAUAGGAGAGUAGGUUGUAAUUAGAUCGGUGCCACUUUUCAUUGCAGACCAGCAAGCCAGGGUAUUGCCCUUCCCACUCAUGUGAGACUGGAACCAAUCUAACCAACCCAAAAUCAAGGAUGAUCGGAGAUACAACUAUAAGAAGUCGUGUAGAAUAUUCUACCCGAACACGAACUUGAAGAUUGCAGCGGAAUUUGACUCCCAAGAUUGUUUUGGCUCUCAAUUGAUUAACUUCUCCUUCUUCACCACGAACAAAGUCCAAAUGGUAUUACACAAGAUCACGAGUCAAACCCUAUGUGUUUUCCACACCAGGCGCACCCAAAUCCACUCUCAAAAAAUAAUGAACUCUAUGUUUUUCUUUCUAAAAGAAGUUCUCUCUUUUUUUGAGGGAAUAACAAAAAAAAUACUUCAAGAUUUCAUCUCAAAAGUCUUCUUAAAAAAUGAUAUUUUUCUGUGGACACUUCGUGGAUAAAACUUCAUAAGAAAACCAUCGAAAAAUAACUCGUAAUUUUGAAUCUCAUCCAAAAGGGGCACAUGACCCUCUAACUCUCCCUCCAUCUCAGCAUAACAACCAAGAGGCGCCCACAAAACAUCGUAACCAACAAGUGGCACAUAACCGCCAUGUGGGCACCUCUUUCUGGAUUCAAAAUUCAAAUAGUUAAAUCAAAUAUUUAACUUGGAUCAGGUCAUGAUAACAGUCAACCCAUCAUGGGUGCCCUAUAUUCUAAUAUCUCUCACUCACACAUGAUGAGAUGAUCUACAUAGAGCUUUCUUGGAUUUUCAUAUUGUGUCAUCAUGACUGCAUGGGCACCAAGUUUGAGAGCUUUUAUACUAAAAAUCCAUCUCAGAACCAACAUAAGAGACUACAACCCUUUUAUUACUCAGAUCUAUCACAAAAGUACCUCAGAUAUCCUAGAUUUGUCUAUAUACACUCAUACGUGGCAUCUCUAAUCUCUCAUGUCUCUAUCACCCAUAGCCUUACCACUAUGAUCUCUAAUAUGUCUUGUGUCCACGCUUAUGAUGCUCCUAGAAAUAACUUCAUAAUGGAUAUGUCUCUGACACAAGCAUAGUGUGUAUAUAUCGGACAGGAUCUUUGUUUCGCCCACAUAUCACUUAAAUCAAAAUUAGCUGCUUUCCUGACAUUACUCCUUGAGGUCGCAUUAUCAUAAUCUUUGGAUAUAUGCUAUAAUAGCAUACACUAACUCUUCACCUCAUGAUACUAUCAAAGUAAUAAGGGCAUCAAUAAAAAGAUUCUAUACCUUUCUGAGACUCACACAACAAUGAAGCAGGGAUUCAUUCACGUGCUUCCCAAUCGUAGUUCUUAAGCGCAUGCAAUAUGAAACACAUGCUACGGUGUACUGUUUAUUCUAUAAGAGCAAAUAUCGAUUUUUUUUACUUUAUACCAUACGGAUUUUAGUCCAAGUGCUCUCGAUAUUUGACUCGAGUUCUACUACUCCGCUCAUCCUCAUAGUAUUAGAUGUAUGCUCUAGAAGCCAAUCAUACCGAUACAUUAAUUCUUUCUAGGAUGUAAUUUUUAUACUUGACCUAAUUGAUUAGGAUAAUUAAUUUUAUUCAUGUAGUAUAUGCAUCCAUUAAUCAUUCAGAGAAUUAAUAAGAUGAUGAUACAUAUUCUCAAGAGUUGAGAAUUUGAUGCAUGUGUCAUUGAUGGUUAAUUCUCAGAUUAUCUUCGAUCGAAGAAUCAUCAUGAAGACGGUGAUUGAUCCGAUAAGAUUGGUGCACGGAUUGCUUCUCUUAGGACAGAUAAGUCUUGAGUCUACAGUGUGGAGAUAUUGGAGUGAGAGUAUUGAUGGUUGUUAGAGAACAACAGUACUAAGCGUGACCAACAUGAGAAGUCACUUGGAUGUCUACUUACUUGUCAAUGAUAUUCUCGAUGCGGUAGUUAUGUGAAUGGUUUUUAGACCUGCGGUACCUCAAUUGUUCAUAAUAAGGUUGCUGUAAUUUGAUUGCACCAUAACUCGAUCUCCUAGCCAUACGAAAUCUUGAGGUAUAUAUUGACUGUAGUAGGUUUAUUAUAAGAAUAGGAUGUGCAUCAAGAUGGGAUCUAUCGAUCUUAAUAGAAAAAGAGUAGUCCUAUAUAAUUUAUGAGAUUAAGUUUGGAAGAUCUUGAUCAGGACAGAAUGAAUGAUGAAAAAGAGUUUUUAUUAAAUUUCACAAAUGAACUCAAAUCGAAUAAAUCUUAUAUAUGACAGACGAUGGGAUUUGAUAAAUUUUUCAUGAUCUCAUUCUUAUCGAAACUCACGAUGAAAGAACUGAAUCACAUGAUAACUACACCUAGAAGUUCAUCAUUCUAUUCUGCUGGAUUAUCACUACAUGCUGCUAGGUAUCACUGGUAGAUUAUGAAAUUAAUAAAAAUUAUUUUAAUGAUCAAUAAUUUUUGAUUGAUGAAUUAAAAUUAUUUCAAUCCAUUAAAAAGAGUUUCAAUGAUAUUUUGAUGGAGAUCAAAAUAUUUUUCACUACCAGAUAGAAUAAAAUCUAUGGGAUCAUACAUAAAGAGGUUCUAACUGAUCAGACUAUCGAAUCAUAAUUUUGAAUUGCAAAUCGCAAGUGAUCUUAAUUAUUAAUUUGAUUAAUGAUUGGACUUAAAUAUAUGAGUUAUAUUAAGGACUUACUAAGAGUUAGUAAGUUAUAAGAGGACUAAAUUAUAAAUACUGCUAGAUUAUUUGAUUUAAUCAAAUAAUUGAUUUGAGUCGUAGUCAAAUUAAAUUCAAAUUUAAUUUGAUUAUAUUUGGAUUGAGUUUGAAUCAGAUUGGAUUUCAUAAAUCCAAAAUGGUCUUGGAUUUGGUUAAGUACUUGACUUAUUUGGAAACCCAAAUCAAUUUGGAUUUGAACCCAAACCAGAUAAGUGUUUUAUCAACAGAAAGACUCCUCCUUUGAGACCUCACGCCCCUUGUUUUCAUGUUAAGAUGAAAGCUUUGGUGGCUUAUGGCAUGGAGAAAUUCAAGGUAGGAAAGGUGGGCGGCUACUAAGAAAACUCUAUCUAAAACCCUAACCAUCUUUUGAGUUUAAAUAAAGGGACAAAGGGGGUGCCUCCUAAGAGAUGAGAUCUUUUUUUGGAUGCCCCACAUGAGAGAAAAGAGUGCGUGAGAUAUGGAGGGCCUGGAUCAAGUGGAGGAUGCCAAGGAGCCUUUUGCAUGAGGGAUUUUCUAAGAGAGAAGAAAAAAGGUGGUUGGCACCAUAUCCCUAUCUUUUCUUUCUUACAACCAAAAAUUGGUUGUUGAAGGUAACCUCUCUCCCUCUCUCCUUUGUCCAAAGAUUGAAUAUGUCUCCUUCUUCUUCUCUCUCAAACAUGUCCAAGAGUUGGAUAUUAAAUCAGAUUUGAUAUGAUUUUUCUCUCCUCUAUAGAUGUCCAAAGGUUUGACAUAAAAUUAUAUUUGAUCUGAUUUUUUUUUUCUUCUUGAUCCAUACGAUGGACAUAAAAUUCUUUCUCUCCCUUGUCCAAGAGUUGGACAUAUUAAAAUUAGAUUUGAUCUGAUUUUAUUCUCUUUUUCUUGGUCUAUGAGAUGGAUAAAAGGUUUUUCUCUACCUUUCUAGAUCUAGUCUAAAGGUUGGACAAGAAAGGAAGAAAAAAGAGAUUAAAUCUCUUAUCUUCUUCAAUAGAUCUUGAAUUUUUUUAAAAAAAGAGAAAAGUAAAAAAAAAUCAGAUAUGAUCAGAUUUCAUCAUCCUCCUAUAGAUCUGUUUAAUUUUCUUGAGAAGAGAAUCAAAAGAUCAAACCAAUUCGAUAAUCUAAAAGACGAUCUCUGCAAGAGAGCUAGCAUCCCAGUGAGAUCGAGUCCUCCUAAUCAGAUCAGCCUCGAUGGAUAUCCAUAGAGGUCGGAUGCGUGUGGUGGCUCUGUAAAAACCUCACCAGAUUACCACGGACCAUCAGAUUGCGGUGAAGAUCUAUCCGUACAAAGAUAAAGAUCUAAAUCUAUUUUUAAUUUUUAGCAUCUUAAUUUCAGCAUGUAAACUUUUCUGGCAUGUAUAGAUUAGAUCUAUAAUUUUAUGCAUAUUAGAUUUAAAAUAGUUUUAAAUCUAGAUCAGUUUUAAUUUCUAUUACGUUCAUGAUUUUUAAAAAUUAAAAAUCUACAUAUUUUGAUUUAUGCAUGUAUAUUUUUGGAAGUUGAACUUUCUACACAUAAUGCCUGAAGAAAAUCUCGCAUCUGGCUAUAGUUAUUAUGGAUGGUGGUAAUCCAUAAUUCGAUCUAUAUAUUAUGUCUCUCUUGGAUCUCAUCCUGGUCUCUUACCAGGGAGACAUUAUAAACUACAUUGUAUUCUUGCAUACCACAGGGCGCCCUUUGGCUGCCAUUCUUGAUGCUAAGAAACACAAAAUGUCUCAUCUUAGCUCGCUCCUUAUAAGCGCCCAAGGCAAUUGCUCGUGUGAGAAAGCCAACCUUACCAACCUGUACGACAUACUACCACAUUAUGUAUGUGUUCACUAUGAUAUGAGAAAAUAAUUACUGAAUAAAAAUGUCAUAUUUAUUCAUUCAAAACAAAUAUAUUCAAACAUAAUAUAUAUAUAUAUAUAUAUAUAUAUAUAUAUAUAUAUAUAUAUAUAUANNNNNNNNNNNNNNNNNNNNAUAUAUAUAUAUAUAUAUAUAUAUAUAUAUAUAUAUAUAUAUAUAUAUAAUACUCCACAAUCUACGUAAUCCUAGAAAUUUCACAUGCUCAAUAAACACAUCCAUAGUUCGUCAAGGGGUCUGUUACCAUCUCGUGUGUGGUGAUGUACUGUAGAGUUAUUUUCUUUUGUGCUAUCACGUCUCUCAUGAAAUUAUACUUCGUGCCUAUGUGUUUCAUCCUACUAUGAUACUUAAGGUCCUUCUUGUAGGCUAUGGCUGUUUUGGCUAUCAUAAUAGCAUCUUACUGGCUCUAUCUCUCUACUAAUAACCCCUAAAUAGCCUAUAAAAUAUCUCAACCAUACUGCCUCUUACACUGCAGCAGAACAUGCAACAAAUUCUGCUUUCAUGGUCAACAAUGCCAUGCAUGUAUGUUUCUUGCUGCUCCAAGAAAUGGUACCAUUAUUUAGCAAGAAUACAUAAUCGAAAAUAGAUUUACUUUCAUCCAGAUCGCCAAUCCAAUCAGCAUCUGAGUAACCCACCAACUACAAGUCACUCCCAUGGUAACACAAUCUAUAAUCGACAGUGCCUCUCAAGUAUCUCAAGAUCCUCUUGAUCGGUUGCCAAUAUUUCUGCCUCGGAUUGAACUGAUAACGACUUACAAGACCCACUACAUAACAAAUAUUGGGUCGUGUGUACAUUAUUGCAUACAUCAAGCUCCCAACGAUGCUGGAAUAAGGGACUUUCCUCAUGGAAUCUCUCUCAGAUUGAGUCUUAGGAUACGUCUUAAGGCUUAAAGCUUCACCUUUAACAAUAAGGGUAUCUAUAGGCUUAUAAUUUUUCAUCCUAAACCGCUCAAGAAUCUUCUCAAUGUAUGAUUCUUAUGACAAAGUGAUUAGGUUCAUAGAGCAAUCCCUUUGGAUUUUAACUCCAAGAAUAAAUUCUAUCUCACCCAUAUCCUUCAUCUCGAAAUUCAAGGACAGCCAACUCUUAACGGUAUUCUCGAAAGAUAGACUACUUCUGACUAAUAAUAUAUCAUCCACAUAAAGGGAUAAUAUGAUAAAAUCUGUCUCAGACUGCUUCAUAUAUAUACAGUGGUCCUCAUUGAUCAUCCGAAAGUCAUAAGAUGAAAUAGCUAGAUGAAAUCUUAAAUAUCACUGCCUAGAUGAUUGCUUAAGUCUAAAUGGACCUUCGAAGUUUGCCAAUUUUGUACUCCUAACCUUUCUCAAUGAAACCUAAUGGCUGUUCCAUAUAUAUUUCUUCAUCUAGUUCUCUAUUGAAAAAUAUGAUCUUUACAUCCAUCUGAUGUAAUUUCAAGUCCAACUUGGCAACCAUAGCCAGAAUAACUCUUAUAGAAAUGAAUCUCACAAUAGGCGAGAAGGUAUCCUCAUAACCAAUACCUUCCUAUUGUGUGUACCCCUUAGCUAUUAAAUGAGCUUUGUAUCUCUCAAUAGAAUCAUCUACUUUUCUCUUAAUAUUGAGAACCCACUUAUUUCUAAUCAUCUUUCGGUCCGACGGAAGGUCAGCCAAGUUCCAGACAUGGUUAGUCCUCAUAGACUCUAUCUUCUCUUCCAUUGCUUUCAUCCAUUUAUCCUUAGCAGGGCAUGAGAGAGCCUCUUGAACUGAACUCGAUUCCUCAUCAUCUCUUAGAGUAAUUAUUAAUGCUUCCCCUUCGAUCUAGAAACAACAUCAAGGAACAUUUUCUCGGCUACUCCUAUGCAACAGUGUCUCUUGAGGACUCUCAAAUAUUCUUCCACUUGGAUUAGUAGGUGGAGGUACAACUAUUUGUUCCUCACUUUCUUGGUUCUCAUCAUUUACUUGCUGAUCCGCAAUCUCAUAAAAUGACACAACUUUGUCAACAUCGCCUCUACUAGAAAAUUCAUUCUUUAAAAAUAUGAUAUCUCGCGACUUAAGCUCUGUAAUGCUUCCAUCUUCAUUGUCACCAAUGAAGACAUAGCCCUUUGAGUGUUCAAAAUAUCUGAUAAAUAUACACUUUUUGCUCCUAGGGCCUAACUUUCCAUACGUAUGAGAAGGAUCAUGCACAUAAGCUACCGACCCCCAGGGCCGCAGUACACUCAAAUCCAACUUUCUACCCAUCCACAAUUCAUAGGGUAUGGAAGCAACAGACUUAGAGGGCACCCGAUUAAGUUCAUAGGCUGCAGUCAUCAAAGCAUCUCCCUAAUGAAAAAUAGGCAAGUUAGCCUGCGCCAUCAUCGACCUAACCAUCAUGAGCAAAGUCCUAUUUCUUCGCUCUGCAACUCCAUUCUAUUGUGGACUGCUAGGAAUCGUCAACUGUCUUACGAUUUUCUUUUCAUUACACAGAUGCUUGAAUUGAUUUGAUAAAUACUCAUAUCCACGGUCAGUUCUCAAAGCCUUAAUCUUUUAAUGCAAUUGAUUCUCAACCAAACUCAUGAAUUAUCUGAAGCACUCUAAAGCUUCAACUUAUGGGAGAUCAAGUAAAUGUGAUCAUAACAAGUAUAAUCAUCAAUAAAAGUAAUGAAAUAUAAGGCUCCAUGCUUUACCCUCACACUCAUUGGACCACAUAUGUCAGAAUGAAUCAAUUAUAAUGGAAAGUCAGCUCUGGUUCCUUUCUCAAAUGGUUUUCUAGUUGCUUUACUUACUAGGACAUCUCUAUUUUUAUCAAGGAUCCUAAUAGUCAUGCUUUUACCAACCUAUUCAUUCUCUCUAAACCCAUAUGUCCAAGCCUAGUGUGCCAAACAUUCACAUCAAAAAUAUUAUUCAUGAUAGGAGAUAAAGAAAAACAAUGAUUGUCUGAAAUAUAACCAUUAUUAGAAAUUGUAUCCAAUACAAUGAAACCAUCCAAAAAAAAAUUAGAACCGAAAAGUCUAGUCCCAAAAAUAAUAUCAACUAAAUUAUUGUGAAAAUUCACACUGAAACCUAAUCCAAGAAGAAAGACAUCUGAAACUAAGUUUUGUCAGAUUUUUGGAAUGUAUAAAACAUUAUGUAGGAGUAGGGUUCGUCCACCAUGCAACUCUAGCUUGCAUGUUUCGAUCCCUUUCACUUCAAUACUUGCAUUGUUUCCUACAUAAAGCCAUCUGCUCUUGGAAGGUAGCCAAUGGUACUCAACAAAUGCUCCUUUACUCUAGCUAUGUGGUCUGUUGCAUCUGAAUUCACAAUCCACAAAGAAUUAGCAUCAGUCGUUAAUGCAGUGCUAGAAACAUAAAGAAAUGAGGAUGCUCAUCGCAUGGUGUUACCUUAUUCUGCUCCAAGCAAUCUCGAACAAAAUGACCCAUCUUAUGGCAGUCAUAACACUCCACUUUGGUCAUAUCUCUCUUUCCACCAUGCUUCCCUCUCUUCUUAAAAUCGAGUUUAGCCAUCUAUUGGCUUCUCAGAUCCCUUCUUUUGCCAGCUUCUCUUAUUCCGAGGCUUCUUACCCUUGCCCUUCUGCUUGGCAUCUGAAGUUCCAGCAGUCUCAACUAUAAAAGCAUGAUUAGAUAUCUUAGCAGCCUCCCAAUGCUCAUCCUCAAGAAUAAGAUGAUGCUUUAUGUCAACAAAAGUCUUAACAGACUCAUUGUGAGUCAUAUUGACCUUCAUAUACUCUUAGCCAGUAGAUAAGGAUCUAAUAAUAACUUGCACCUACUAUUCGUCUAAGAGGUUGUGACCAGCUGACUUCAGCUCCUUAAUCAUGUUUGGCAUCUCUCUCAAAUACUGCCUCAUCGAAACAUUAGGGUGCAACCUGUAUGUGUCAAACUUGAUGGCCAACCUCUUAAGUUUGGUACCAGAAGUGCCCCCAAACUUAUUCUUCAGUGCGAUCCACAUGGUCGGAGCCAUCUUAUAAGACUCAAACUCACACAUGAGAUCAUCAGCCAUGCUGCUCAGCAACGUAAUGCGAGCGAUGCUGUCUUUUUUUUUUCAAGCUAGAAAAGCCUCAUGAUCUGUCCUGUGCUGUUGCAUGUUUCCACGCUCUGGCUCAACCAUCACAUGGUUCAAUGUCUCCAAAACAUCCUACUCCUUAAGGAUGUACUUAACCUUAUGUGGUCAAAAAUCAUAAUUGUCCCCAUCCAGUUUAUCGCUCUUGUUGAGCUCUGCAAUGACGUUCUUUGAAGCCAUAUUUGCACACAUAAAAAUGGCAUAGAUCAACACACACAAUAUCAUGUUUGCUGCGAUUGCAAUUAGAUUAACAAUGGUCUACAAUUAAGUUCACGAUUGAAAGUCGACGUUUGUCAACCCUCAUCACAUGAAACUUAACUAUACCAGCAUCCCUCUAAUUCAAUCAUGUGCACAACAUCUAUUACACCACAGUUCUUAAAUGAGCCUUUCAUCUACCAAUUUAAGAACUCCCAUUCAAACUAAAAAGUCUAUAUGGUCCUUAAACGAGCCCCUCGUCUACCAGUUUAAGGACUCUCACUAGGAUAAAUAUACAUCACAUAAAACAUGUAACAUACAAUAUCAUGGUAUCAUAUGAACACAAAAUUAACAUACAUCAUGCAUAUAUCUCAUAUUAGGCCUAGUAUGAAAAAUAUGUCAUAAUACUUAUUCAUAUUCAUCUUUAUCCUGAUAAAAAAAAUAUAUUACAUGCAAAAGAAGCAUGAAAUAAGACAAAUAAAAUCACAAACAAUAAAAGGAAAGUACCAUGCAGAUCUAUUACCGAUGCUGUGAUUCUCAGAAUAUGAUUUUCAUUUGUUAACCAAGUCCUAUUUACUAUCGACAUCUCAUUUGCUUUGAUAUUCUUGGGCAUACAAAAAUUAUCAAUCACUGCUGGUUGAUCGAACUACAAUUGUCAUGCCCAUAUAAACAAACAACCUCUUUUUUUUUGUAAAAAUUCUAAAUAAGCUACACAUCUCAUUAAAUCAUCUAUGAUAUAUAAUAAUUUUUUCAUGGCCUAUGAUGGUAUUUUAAAAAAUUCUAUCAUUAAAGGCCAUAUAUUUAGAGAGAGAGCAAUCUUGCCGAAAAACAAAAAAAAAACUUGGCUCUGAUACCAAUGUAAGAAGUCGUGAAGAAUAUUUUAUCCGAAUGCAAACUUGAAGAUUGCAGCGGAAUCUGACUCCCAAGAUCGUUUUGGCUCUCGGUUGAUUAGCUUUUCCUUCUUCACCACGAACAAAGUCCAAACAGUAUUACACAAAAUCACGAGUCGAACUUUGUGUGUUUUCCACAAUGGGCACACACCCAAAUCCACUAUUAGAAAACAAUGAACUGUAUAUUUUUCUUUCUAAAGGAAGUUUUCUCUUUUUCGAAGGGAAUAAGAAAAAAAAUACUUUAAGAUCUCAUCUCAGAAGCCUCAUGGAGACUCCGCGGAUAAAAUUUUGUAAGAAAACCGCUGAAAAAUAACUUGUAACCCUGCAUCUCAUCCAGAAGGGACGCAUGACCCUCUAACUCUCUCUCCAUCUCAACGUAACAACCAACGGGCACUCACAAGAUAUGGUAACCAACAAGUGGCGCAUAACCACCAAAUGGGGGUCUCCUUUUGGAUUCAAAAUUCAAAUAGUUAAAUCAAAUAUUUAACUUGAGUCGGGUCAUUAUAUGGGUCAGCCCAUCAUGGGUGCCUAUAUUAAAUCACCUCCCCAACAUGUAGAGAUCCACCCAUCUAUAGGAUAGCCAAAGCAUCUUUAAACAACUACAUCUCCCAUUGAGCUCCCAAUCUUCCGCCGCACUUCAUUACAAUCCUCGUGGCAUUAAAAUCAGCGACUAUCACCCAAGGUGGCAAACUUGUCCCUUUGUCUAAAUUAACUUCUUCUCGAACUUAGUCUUCAAUUGAUGAUCAACUGGUUCGUACACCCAGUCAUCGUCUAAUUAAAACCAUCCACUAUAUUCACCCACAAAUACGCUAAAUCUCUAAUGCCACUCUAAAAGCCGAAUGCACGUAUAUGGGUUCCACCCAAUUCAAACACCCCCAGAGCUUCCCACCACAUUCAGCAAUCAGCACCCUCCAUUCCUUUAUCAUUACGCUGCCAACAACCCUCAGAACCUGUUGAGAUGGAUCUACCAGCUUGAUUUCAUGAAGGCAAAUCAUCUCUCCCUUUUCAAGCUUAAGAAUGUUCUUAACAACCUUCUUUCAUUCACCUUCCCUAAGCCCCUCAUGUUCCAAGUGAGCAGCUUUAUCUACUCGUCAUCGGCUCCACCUAGUCAGCUCAACUAAAGCCGUCCUCAACAACCCUAUCCAUAGCCUGCACCCUCUCUUCUUAGAGCUUCCCGAGUUUGUCUAUGGCUUGGCCCGUAGACCCAUCCUCAAUCAAAUUAAACUCCACAAUUAGCUGCUGGAGUCACAAUUUGAUCAUUUGAUAGCAAAAUCAGGACCAAUGCAAUAUCAUCCAUUAUCUAAGCUUACCUUAGGAUUUGCAUCGUCUUGCAGCUGAUUCAAAAUGAACUCAUGCUUAUUUCCUCUGCUUGAACUGAAGUGCUCAAGUCAUUUUAUUGAUCGAGAUUUUUCAGCUGAAAUUUUUGGUAGAAGUUCUUUAGUUUCGAACAAUUGGAUCAAUAUUGAAAGGCAUAGUUGAGAGUACAGAUAUGUACUCAAAAUUAAUAAAUUUUGACGAACUUACCAACUUUUUAACUCAUUUACCUUUUCCAUUGAGGGGCCGGUCAGUGUUUGAGAUGUUUUUCCGUUGAAAGAGAAAUACCGGCAUAAGCUAAAUAUAUUUGUUGCGGCCAACUCUCCACCAUCUGUCAUUGAGAACGAAUACCUAUAAAACAACAUCCGCAUAGAUCAGAUUUGUGUCCAGCGCAGACCUUCCAAUGCUUAAGUCAGAGAAAAAAAUUGGUGAACAGGAGUUGAAUAUAAAUAGUAGUAGAAUUUUGGCCCAAAGUUGGCUUACCAGUCCCGUUUUCUUUAUCCCCUUUUAUAGAUGAGAUUUUCGUAACCAUCGGACGUGAUCCCGUAUUUUAUAACGCUAAAUCAUCGGAUCAUAAUCACAUAGUGGAUCGUUAAUUUUCACUGAUUGCGUCGUGAUAUAUGGCCGGUAAUCGUUCAUGACGGUUAUGAUAUAUCUGAGUUGACUGAUCGACCAUAUGUCGAUAGAAUCGACCAUACGUCGGUAGAAUCCAAGAGCAACCGUCGGCUAGUAGUUUUGUUAUACUGAUGGUCUAAGUCGUCCGCUGUCGAUCGAUAGUAGUCGAAUCAUUAGUCAUCAUUAGUCGGUCAGCCGGCAAUAGGUCGAUGUGAUUCGUUCAAUUGGUCAAUGAAGAGUCGAAAUCGCAUAUUCAGCCGAUGUAGAGUCGGAGUUGUAUAUCCGAUCAGUCGGCUGUUGUUGAGUCAGAGUCGGUAAUUGGUUGACUUGAGGCAGGGGUCGAUUGAGUUAUCCCAACAGUUACCCCCCACUCCCAAGUCCAAAGUGAGUCGAUGUGUAUAUUAUCACAUAGUUUGUCACGUUGGACAAAGAGAAUUAUUUAUUGCCAUAUCGAAUCUCGAUUUUGAUGCCGUUUUCUUCGAGAUAUGGGUGAUCGGCUAUUUUAUCAUGUUGGCAGAUAUAGUCGUUUGUCACACUGACCGGCCGAUUUGGUAUAAGUUGUCAGUGUCAGGCGUCAUUUUGGAAAGUCGAUUCGGUGUCUGAUGAUAUGAUUCUGACAAGUAGAUUUAUUCCAUGUGUCCAAAAGUUACUGGGUUAGAAUUGUUCACGCGGAUAGAGGUGACGUGGCUCAAUCUGGGGCAGGUGGAUCGAACCAUCCGAUCAAUGAUCGGUUCAGAUGUUGUCACGUGUCGUUAUGUAGUAGAUCUUCGAUUUAACCGCCUGUAUCUCGACCGUUGAGGGAUUCUAUAUAUAUAGGAUCACUCUCAAUCAAAUUUUCACUUUUCACUGUUUUUGAUGCUGGGACUCUACCGGAUUGUUGCCCCAAUGCCCAAGGUUAUCGCUCCCAACUUUCAGGUCAACUCCAUCUUUCUUUCGAGUCCUUUCCACUUUCCUCUAAAGUUUUUGUCUUCUUCAGAAUUGUUCUCUUGGCUAGGGCCUCUCCUUCUCGGGAAGAUCAGUCGGAGAAUCCAACUGAUGAAUCCCAGUCGGGUCCGGAUGUGGAAGCUUCAUCAUUUUCGGAAUCGAACGUUGAAUGGCUCCGGGAGCAGUUUUGUAUCUCGAAGUAGUUUCAAGUUUUCGCCCCUAGGACCGAUGGUCGGGUGAAUAACCCACCUUCGGGACAUGUGGCCUUCUACAUCGAAGAUCUUCGGGCGGAUCUUCGAUUUUCGAUUUUAAAAUUUAUCCAAAAUAUUUUGGAUUAUUACGGACUUUGCCCGACUCAGCUGGCAUCGAACUUGAUCCGAUUGAUAAUUAGCUUUGCUUUGCUAUGUCGGAUGUUGCCGAUCAUGCCCCGUCCUUCUCUUUUUCGAGCCUUCUUCAUCCUCCGAUCUUAUUCGAAGGCCCGAGGGUGGUGGUUCUUUAACCCCCAAAAAGGCCUUUCCUUUAUUACUAAUCUUUUAUCGUCCUUUCAUGGAUGGAAGAACUAUUUUUUUUUUGCUUCUUCUUCCCUUCCUUGGGGUUUUCCUUCUCGUUGGGGUGAUCCUUGAACCGGUCCCAAUGACAACAGUUGGAUAGAGGUCGACGACUAGAAGGACUUUCACUGGCUGAAAGACAUGUCGGUGCCGAAGCAGAAAGAGCUUGUAACCGAACAGACUCUUUAUGACGUCGGUCUUAGUUCGGUUCCUCGUCUAGAUAUAGUAUAGUUGGUCGGUUAUUUCUGAUUUUUCUUUUACUUGCUGAAUUGUACUGACCUCCAUUGUAAUUGCAGCUAUGCAGCAGAGGGUGUGAGUGUCGAAUGCCAACAUUCAUCUGCACGCUGCCAAAAAGAGGGCAGCAUCUGAAGCUGGGCCUUCACGAUCGCCGAAGAGGCAUCAUGCACUAGCUCCAGUCGGCAUUUCAACAUCGACUGUGGAACCCGAUGUCCCAUCGGCAUCGGUUCCUGAACCAGUCUUGGCACUGUCAGCUUCGAUAGUGCUCCCUACUGCAUCAUCCAUGGAAAGGGCAGCGAGGGGGACUACUAAAAUAGCAUCGGUAGUCCCACCACCUGAGAAAGUUUGGGCUGAGGUAAGAGAGCCCGAACAAUCUGUGUAUGCGCCAGUUGCUCCAUCAGUUGGGGUGCAGUCAAGUUCAAGCUUCCCCUCACUUUCAAAUAUGGGACCGUCGAUAACAGACAGGGGGAAAGCUCCAGUGGCGUCGGUGGAUGAUGCAGCACUAGAGAGCCAUGCGGUGCACUUCAACCUCCAAGUGCCUGUCGAUGAAUCGAUCUUGGUUAAUUCUGUACUGGCCAAGCGACUGUGCCAGGCAACUCUCCUUCUGGCUGAUCGGGAGCGUCGGAGGAAACGAUCGGUGGUCGAAAUAUUUUUAUCCUUUUAUCUGACCAUCAUUGGUGUAAGUCUCUUUGAUAAGCUUUCUUUCUUCUUCUUUUUUUAACCAGACUUAUUCUCUGUCUACAGUUGAUCCACGACAUGUCUGACCUAGAGGUCGGCUACACCACGUUCGCCGACAUCCGUAGCAUGUGGAAGAAUAAGGUGGUAGCCAUUGAUGCUGAGAAAGUGGCUGCACUUGAACAACUCAAGUCGGCAGCAGAGCGGGAAGUCAAACUUCAGGAGGAGAUUUUUCGACUAACUGAGACUUGGCAUCCUCGGGGGCCGAACUUGUGUCGGCUCACGGGGCUAUUUCAGCUCUUGAAUCAUAAAUCAAGAGCAAGAAGCAUUCUAUCCACCGACUUCGACGAAAGCGAGAUGGAUGCAUCGAAGAACUUGAAGCCGAACAUGGAUGUUAUCAGGCCAGCCUAGAAAGGUUGGCACUGGUCGAAGAAGAAUUAUCCUCUACUCGAGCCGAUGCUGAUUUGGCCGAGAUAGAAGCGGAGUCGGUAAGAGAAGCACUGGGUCGGGCAAUCGAAGAUUUUUGAGAUUCGAAAGAAUAUAGGGAAAAGAUCCUUAAAAAUGGCUUCACUUCGUACUGCAUCGGGUAUGAAAAUGAUCGAGAUGCGGUCAAAAAAUUAUAUCCAAACUUUGACUUGAGCAGCAUCGUUCCUCCAAGAUCAAAAGACGGAGUUGCUAAAGAAGAAGCUGCUCCAACUCUAGAAGAAGCACCGACUAAGCCCGAAAUUGUUUAAGUCGACGAUGCUACACCCGAGCAAAAGAACGAUGACGAAGUUUAGUCGAUGUAUUUUAUUUUUUUUUGUAAUCAGAUACCUGUAAUCAGACUUUGGUUUAAUUUUGUAACUUCUUGUUUUGGCAAUGAAUGAAAGCAUUUUUCUUCUAAGUUUGAACUUUAUUCAUCUGGAAUAUUGUCUGCAAUGUCUGCAAUGUAAAGUAGUCACCGAACAUUAAUCGGUGAUUCGAUCAUUCGGUAGGACUUGUAGAAUAUUCAUUAGUCACGUAGUCAUUUUGCCAUACUUGAUAGAAAUUAGGAUAACGAUUGUAAGUCGAAUAUCUCGUGCUCGAUAUUUGAUCGGGCUUGUACGUCGAAUUAUCUGAUAAUUGAUGGUAAGCCAAAUAUCCCUCGACUGACCAUAGCCUAGUCGGUAUAAUUUUAAUCCGACCUUGGUCAUUUUGGCAUUUCAUUCCGCUUAGUUAGAACUAAGUCGGUAUAUUAGUCUUUCAACUGUGAUCAGCUUUUACAAUGGAAAGCCGAUAUUAAAAAUCGAGAUAUAAUCAGCACUACGGCUUUUGCGGUGAAAGCCUGUAUAGUUGAUGUCGGUUGAGAUUACAGUCAGCAUAUCAGUUUUCAUAUGAAAAUUGAAAUACAGUCAUCAUCGAAGUAGUUGAUUCUUCGAUUUUUAUAGUGGAGGCUGAGAUAAACUUCGUGUCAAAGUACAGUAGAUAGCUCGGCUUUGGUAAUGGAAGCCGCCAUAUAACCAGUGGUUGAUAAAAUUUGUCAAAGACUUGUGAUUCUAAAAUUCUGAUUGUAUUUUAAAUAAUGUACAUAUCAUCACUUUUAUUGAUAAUACAUUUUUAGAUUGUCGGCAUUCCAUGUUUGGAGAAUCGCCGACCCUUCGAGAGUUUCUAGCCAAUAUGCGUCCGAUCUAAGAGUUUUCGAUAUUUUGUAAGAUUCUUCCCAGUUCGGAGAUAAUUUUUCUUGAUCCAGGGGUUUUGAGACUUCUGCUUUUCUUAAGACCAAAUCUCCUGGUCGAAAAAUCUUUGACUUAACUCUUGCAUUGUAAUACCGAGCUAUCCUUUGUCGAUAUGCAGCCAUCCGAACUUGAGCUUACUGUUAGAGUUCUGGAAGGAGAUCUAAGUCAGCUCUCCGACAUUCAGAGUUGCUCGGCUCACUAUAUUGCUCCACUCUUGUUGACGGUAAUCUGAUCUCAAGCGGUAUUAUUGCUUCUGUCCCAUAAGCUAAGUUGAAAUUGGAUUUUCUAGUUGGUAUGUGGGGAGUCAUUCGAUACGCCUAUAAGACUGGAUAUAAUUAUUCUACCCAGAGGCCUUUAGCUUUAUUCAGUCGGAUUUUUAGUCCAUAUAGGAUUAUCCGGUUGGUUACUUCCAUCUUGCCAUUUGACUGUGGAUGGCCAACUGACGUAAGUUUGUGCGUAAUAUGAAAUUUUGCACAAAAUUCUCUGAAAUUUUGGUUAUCAAAUUAUUGACCAUUGUCGGUGAUGAUAGUGUGUGGCAAACCAAAUCUGUAAAUAAUGAAUUUCUAAAUAAAGUCUUCCAUCUUGCUUUCAGUAAUUUGCGCCAGAGGUUCGGCUUCUACCCAUUUGGUAAAAUAGUCGAUAGCGAUCACUAUGAAUUUUUUCUGACCAGAUGCCAAGGAAAAAGGAUCAAGUAUGUCGAUCCCCCAUUGCACGAAGGGCCAUGGUGCUACAAUCGACGUCAGCUGACUAACCGGUUGAUAUUGUAUAUUUGCAUACUUUUGACAUGGUUCACACCUUCAGACGAGUUCAGUUGUAUUUUUUUUCAUGAUGGGCCAAUAAUAUCCUUGUCGCAGAACUUUAUAAGUUAGAGAUUUGUCCCCCAAGUGAUUUUCACAAAUCCCUUCGUGCACUUCUCUAUGUGUAUAGUCGGCAUCUGUAGGUCCUAAACACUUCAGCAAAGGGAGAGAAAAUGACCUUUUGUAAAGAAAUUAUUCAUUAUUAUAUAUUGAGAGGCCAUCCAUCAGAGUCGUUUAACCUCUGAGGAGUCCACAGGAAGGAUCCCAUCGGUCAGGUAUUGAACGAUCGGAUCCAUCCAGCUUGGUUCUAUAGUGAGCUGCAAUAUCUCCUCGACCUUAUCAAUACUCGACUGUUCGAGGCAUUCAAUAAAUUUUUGACCCAACAAGUUGAAAGCGAUAGUAGCCAGUCGCGAAAGUAUGUCGGUCUGAAUAUUUUCGAUUCUGAAAAUAUGAAAGAUCUUAAAAUAUUUCAAGCUUGUAGUAAAAUCUUUCACUUUUUGAAGAUACUUCAUCAUAAUGGGGUCACAGAUCUCAAAUUCGCCGUUGACCUAUCCAGUGAUUAGUUGUGAGUCGGUGAAGAUCUUCAAACUAUAAAUCUCAAGCUCCUUGGCUAUCUUCAAGCCGGUCAAAAAUUUUUCAUAUUCAGCUUGAUUAUUUGAGGCUUUAAAGUUAAAUCGAAGGGCAUACUCGGUGACUAUCCCUUCAGAAUUCGUGAGUGUGAGGCCAGCUCCACUACUUUGUGUAUUAGACGCUCCAUCAAUGUGCAGCACCCAGAUUGACUUUAAGUCGGGUUUGAGAGUGGUAGCCUCUUUUAUUGUAUUGUCAUCUGUAUCUUCUGGCUUAUUGUCGAAUAUAGUAUAUUCAGCAAUAAAAUCGGUUAGGACUUGCACUUUCAUGGGUGAUCGUGGGCGAUAUUGAAUGUCGAACUCAUCAAGCUUCACUGCCCACUUUGCCAUCUGACCUGACAUGUCAGGUCAAUGUAAGAUUGCCUUCAGUGGCUGAUCUGUCAGAACUACAAUCGGAUGGACUUGAAAGUACGGACGAAGUCGUUGCACUGAUAUGAUUAAGGCGUAAAUCAUUUUCUUCGCCCUUGAGUAUCAGACUUCGGCAUUGUGAAGUACUUUGCUGGUGUAGUAGACUGAUCGGUGGAUUCGGUUCUCAUCCUCCUAGAUGAGCACCGAACUAACUGCUUCUACUGAAAUUACCAAAUAGAGAUACAAUGUCUCUCCGACCCUUGAUUUUGUGAGCAAAGAUGGAGAAGCCAAGUAUUGUUUCAAGUCUUUGAAGAAUUUUUGGCAUACAUUCGAUCAUGAGAAAUCCUUCGUCUGCCGCAAAGUUUUGAAGAAUGGCAAGCAUCUCUCGACCGAUCUAGAAAUAAAUCGGUUGAGUGCGGCAAUCUUUCCAUUGAGUUACUGUAUCUCUUUCUUUAAACUCGGAUACUUCAUGUUGAUAAUGGCUUUGAUUUUUUUGAGAUUAGCCUCGAUUCCUCAUUGUGAAAUAAGAAAUCUGAGGAAUUUUUUGGAGGUUGCCCCAAAUGUACACUUAGUCGGAUUUAAUUUCAUCUAAUGCCAUCGGAGUGUGUCGAAAGCUUUCUCUAGGUUCCGAAUAUGAUUUGCAGUUUAGGGACUCUUCACCAGCAUGUCAUCUACAUAUACUUUCAUGUUCCAUCCGAUCUGUAUCUUGAAGAUCUUGUUGAUGAGCCGUUGAUAGGUAGCGUCGAUAUUUUUUAGACCGAAAGGUAUUAUUUUGUAGCAGUAUAUGCCUUUGUCGGUCACAAAAGUCAUGUGCUUUUCAUCUUCCGGUGCCAUACGGAUUUGAUUAUAUCCAGUGAAGACAUCCAUGAAACUAAGAAGUCGGUGGUCAGAAAUCGCAUCAACCAAUUGAUCAAUCUUCAGCAACAAGAAGCUGUCCUUUGGACAAGCUAUAUUCAGAUCAAUAUAGUCGAUGCAAAUCCUUCACUUUUCAUUGACUUUUCUUACCAUUACCACAUUGGCAAGCCAAUCAGGAUAUGUAGCUUCUCUGAUGAAGCCUGCCGUGAGGAGUUUGUCGACUUCUUCAUCAAUGACCUUUUGUCUUUCAAGAGCAAAAGACCACUUCUUCUAUCUCACCAGCUUAAUAUUUGGGUUGAUGUUAAGUUGGUGGGUUAUUAUUUUUGAAAAAAUCUCAAGCAUGUCGUUGGUCGACUAGGCAAAAAUAUCGACGUUGGCUCUGAGCAAUUUUAUUAAUUAUUGCCACUCUGAGUCAGAUAAUUGUGAUCCAAUUCGGAUCAUUUUUUUGAGAUCUUUUUCUUUCAAUGGAAUGGAAACCAAUUUUUCAACCGGUUCACUCCUCUUCUGAUUUUCUCUUUGAUCCAAUUUGUUAACAGACAAAGAGUCUUCAGGUUUAUUAUUUUGGGUGGAGACAAGGAAGCAACAUCGGACGAGUUGUUGAUCUCCACGCAUCUCUCUAACUCUAUAUCUUAUCAAAAAUCGGACUAACAAAUGGUAUGUCAAAACCACUGCUCUCAAAGCAUUUAGUCCAGAUCAUCCGAGUAUGGCAUUGUAAGCCGAUGGUACUCGAACCAUCAUGAACGUUAUGAAAAUAGUGCUCUGUUGUGGUUCGAUCCCAGCAGUUAAAAGGAGAGAAUUUUUUUUCUUCACUAUGACAGCAUCUCCUGUGAAGCCGACCAGUGGCAUCGAGAUUUUUCUGAGUCGGUCAGUCGACAGUCGCAUUCGACAGAAAGUCGAAUAAAAUAAAAUAUCGGUUGAACUUUCAUUAUCUACAAGAAUUCUUUUUAUAUCAUAGUUUGCUAUUAUUGCCGAAACAACAACAGCAUCGUCAUAGAGAAUCUGAAUUCUCCAAACAUCUUCUUUCGAAAAAGUUAUUACAUUGUCGAAUCACCGUCGCUUUGCCGACUCAUCUUCGAAAGUUGCCCUUUUAUCCAGUUGUCUAAAGAUCAUGUUGAUCACCCCUGUAGUCGGUUGAUCAUUUACAGCUUCUUCAGUUUGCAGUUGAGGUCAUCGAUCAGCAGGAGGUUGAGUCGGUGGAUCUCUCCGAUAUUUUUUAAGGUAGCCUCAUCGAAUCAGAGCUUCUAUCUCAUUCCUGAGCUGGAUGCAUUGUUCGGUAUCAUGACCGUGAUCAUGAUAGAACCAACAAUACUUCUUCCGAUCGUGGUUCCUCGGUAACACUUUCAUUGGUAGGGGGUGUCGUAGAUAUUUUGCUCCUUCAAUCUCCAUAAGAAUCCGCGCACGAGGAGCAGAAAGAGAAGUAUAGGAGUCAUACCUACCGUAACUCGGCCUUGGACUUCGUUGUCGGGGCGAAGCUCGCUUAUUAGAUGGUGGCCGACUUGAUUCGACUGGAGCUUCUUCCUUCUUCUAUUUCUUCUUCUUCUGACUUUUGCCUUCCGUCUGGCGCCUGUCAGAAGCUCCUUCAUCUGCGCGCAUAUAUUUGUAUGCACGCUCCAGAAGUUCGGCAUAAGUCUGAGAAAGAGUUUUAUGUAGAAAAUAUGUGAAUCGAGAUCUCCUCAUAUCUCUUUUCAUGGCCAAGAUAGUCAUACUUUCAUUGACAUCUUUGACCUCAAGCAUGGCCACAUUAAAACGAGCCACGAAAUCCCAAAGUGAUUCAAUCUCUCCUUGCUUGAUCGAGAAGAGACUAUCAGAAGUGUGUGGCGGCCUUCGACUGGUGCUGAAGUGAACCACGAAAGAAUAUUCUAGCUGUCCGAAAGAAUAUAUGCUUUCCGACUGAAGCCCAAAGUACUAGGCUCAAGCAGCUUUCUGAAGAAUUAUCGAAAAGCCGAUGCAUAAGAGGAUGUCGGUGGCCUUCUGAAUCAUCAUGAGAGCCUUGUAGCUCUCAAGAUGGUCGAUCAAAUUGGUAGAUCCGUCGUAUGGCUCCACCUGAGGCAUCUUGAAUCGAGAUGGGAUCGAUUGGUCCAAGAUAUACCGAGAAAGUGAUUGGGCGGUAUGGAAGUCAUAGUCAUUGGAGGACUUCCGACCUUUCAUUUGAAGCUAAGCAAGUUGACGAUUGAUCUCUUGAAAUUUACGUUCAUAAUCAUCGAAUCGCCAUUAGGAAACUCAAGGGGUUGAACCACCCGGCGAGUUAGAGGGGGAAGCAGACGGUGUUCGUAGUCGUUUUCCUUUCCUUACUUGAUCCAAUUAAGAAGGAGAGGGACGUCGUGAAUGAUGGAUGACGCAUCGAGAGUAUCGCGAAUGCCGCUGCUCAUCCUGAUGAGAGAACUGAGAUGAUCGCUUUGGUGAAAGAGAUUGCCGUGGAUGACGACGGCUGUGCCUAGAUGGCACCGAAUGCGCUACUGGUUGCUCUGCCGGCGACUGUGGUGGCUGGAUCUACUGCUACUGGAGGCUUCUAACCGCCUCCGUAAGAAUGUUCAUUUGCUGCACGAUUGCAGUAAUCUGGACGUCCGUGGUGACCACGGGUCGCGGAGAACUGGGCUCUGCUAUCGGAGGCAGAGGAGAAGACUCUUCUCGGUGGGAAGAGUGCAUCACGAUCCAGUUGCUGUUGACCGUUGAGCUCUGAUUUUCAUCAUUACAAGUUAUCUUUGUCCCCUACCUGACGUGCCAAUCUGUCGUGGCCAACUCUCCAUCGCCUGUCGUCAGAAAUGAACACCUGCAAAACAGCGUCUGCACAGACCGAAUUUGUGUCCGACGAAAACCUUCCGAUGCUUAAGUCAGAGAGAGAAGUUGGUGAACAGUAGUUGAAUGUAAACAGUAGCAGAGUUUUGGUCCAGAGUUGGCUUAGCAGUCCCAUUUUUCUUACCCCUUUUUAUAGAUGUGGUUUUCGUAACCGUCGGACGUGGUCCCGUAUUUUAUGGUGCUAAAUCAUCGGGCCAUAAUCACGUAGUAGAUCGUUAAUUUCCACUGAUUGCGCCGUGAUAUGCGUUCGGUAACCGUUCAUGAUGAUUAUGGUAUUCUGAGUUGACUGAUCGAUCAUAUGUCGAUAGAACCAACCAUAUGUCUAUAGAAUCCAUGAGCAACUGUCGGCUAGUAGUUCUGUUAUGCCGAUGGUCUAAGUCGUCUGCUGUCGAUUGGUAGUAGUCAAAUCAUUAGUCGUCAUUAAUCGGUCAGCUGGCAAUAGGUCGGUGCGGUUCGUUUAAUUGGUCGAUGAAGAGUCGGAACCACAUAUUCAGCCGAUAUAGAGUCGGAUUUGUAUAUCCGGUCGGUCGGCUGUUGUUGAGUCGGAGUCGGUAGUCGGUUGACUUGAGUUAGGGAUUUUGAGUUAUCCCAAUAAUAUUAGAUGUUAUAAAUGUAACUCAUUAUAAUUUAUCAGUAUAAGAUGUACCUUUGUAAUUUCAGACUCUCUUUUUUUUUUUUUUUUGAGGUGAAAUGGGAAGAAGCAAAGGCUUCUUAAGACCAAGCAAACAACAUCCUGUACAGAGCAUGCCCCCUUGAAACAAAGGAUGUUUCAACAUCCAGAGAGGGGUGCAAAAGAUUUCAGGUCAUUCAGUUUGAAGGUCAACCUCUGUUUUGAAUCAUUUAUGUUCGUUGGACAUCCGCAACGACUAUGCACACAACAUAUAUACAAUAACAAGGAAACAAAAUGAACAUUAAACAGACUAUCUGGAGAAGCUAUGAAGCUCUAAAUAUUAUUUUAACAUAAAAUUAUUUGACAGGCAUGUAAAUGUGAUUGCAGUUCAAACUCUUCCGGCAGAUAAGGACAUCAAAAAAAAAGGGGUCAGAGCCAUGAAUUGAAUAAUGCGAUAUGAGCAUGUACAUAUUUAAUGUCAAUCCGUUUUUAAUGCUAGGAGUAAUGGGAUAUGAACUUCUACUAUUUUGAUACAUAAUCAAGAGACAACUUAAGUGUUUUAAAUAUUUAAGGCACAACUCUUCUACUCCAAAUGUAAGGAUUACCAUGUGCUUUUUAUUCUACCUUUUGAUGAAUGAAAAUCAGAAGUCUUGAUACAUUAAACUAGAGUCGUAAUUCUAGUAGACCAGCAGUUUGUAGCUCCCUCAAAAGCAAAAAGAUGUUAUACUUCACGUUGUGAAAUUAAAAAAAGGAAAAAAGAAAAGAAAGAAAGAAAGAGAACUUCAGACCAAAGUAAAACCAGAACUCCUUUCUGCAUAGCUCACAGUAUUAGAGGUUUGUAUGAUAUUUAUGUUACUACCAAAAUCCGAUCUGAUAAUCUGCAGGUGUGGAGAGUGCUGAUCAAUCUACGGUAGUAGAAGACGAAGCAUCGACGCAUCGAUCUGCACAGAAAAAGAUGGGUAAAGGUGGUCUAAUGAUAUGAAGGUGUGGACGGUGCCGAUCGUUCUCCUGUGGUGGAAGAUGAAGCACCAAUCUACAGACAAAAAGAAGGGUGCUAUGAGAGGUCAUCAGAGCUAAUUUAGAUCAGAUAGAACUCUAGGAAAUAGGAGAUAUGGAAAAGAUAAAGGAGAAGAGAAAGUAGGGAGUUUGUUACUUGUGUUCAUACAUGGGAUGUUGAGCCCCUUUAUAGAUGAGGAGUACUCCCAGACAAGUGAAGAAUCAGUUGAAACUAAAAGAAAGAGAAAAUAGCAACAUCAUAACAGAAGAUGCGACAGUCCCUUGUCUAGCCCUUCCAACGUACAUUAGCCGUGUAUUAAAAAUAUACAGAAUAUUAAGAAUAUAUAUUAUUCAAAAUAUUUUAUAAAAAAAAUUAUACGAACACCUCCUCAAAUUUAUCUCAAUUUUAUUUACAACCUCUCAAGUUUAAAAUGUCUCAAUUAGAUCCUUCAAAUUAUUGAAGUGUAUCAAUAUACCUCUUCCAUCCAUUUAAAUGAUAACACUGUUAUAUUGCCCUUCGAAAAGAUGAAAAUGUCCAUCCCUCCCUUCAAAAUCUGUUACGAUACCGACCCUUCCUAUUUCAACAUCCGUCGUUUUGUAUCUCUUGUUUCCGACGAUUGUUCUCCGACGAGAUUCCAAUGACGACCUCCAUCCCACUCUCCAUUUCGAUCGAGCAGUGUCUCCUCCUUCGUGCACGAGCGUGACAGCCUCUUAAAUACUUUAUUUUCAUCCUUAUGUGAGCCAUGAAAUUAAGAGUGAGCCAUCCAGAAAAGAGAAAAAAUGGGGUACCAGCCUUUUCCUUCUAGAUGCAAGGGAUUGGAAGAUGUUUGUUUCCAAAUACCUUCUGUUUACCUACGAAGCAGCCUUAUCUACAUAUAUUUCACAUAAAUUAGUACUUCAUCCUUGUCAAAAGAACCAAAGCAAUAUGUCCAUCAACAUGAAUUCAGAUCUCUCAGAUAAGCCUAGGUCAUCUGUGUUACCUUGGACACAAAUGGCUGAAUGAUGUAACACGGUACCAAAGCAGAUGGAGGUCACUAGAUGAGGGGUGACAAGAAUCAAAUAAUUCACAUAUAAACAAAGAUAAUACAAUAUCUCCUGUGUCUCCGAUUGUUUUCCAUUAGAAGGAAAAAAAGUCCUACAGUGAAGGCACACUUACAAAAAAUUAUCAAUUAUACUAUUAUGCACCCAUGGAAUUAGUACUGGUACUUAAAGCAUAUAUCAGCCUUGGUAUCUCCAAUUUUGACCUAGGAUCUGCAUAUAUCAGACUUGGAAUGAGAUUUAUGACCUCCUCUCUCAUAUCCUUCGCAACAUCUGAAGGAAUUUGCUUCAAUCUUUCUUCAAUGCUAAUGUUCCUCUUACGAAUAUCAUCUUCUGGGAUGAAGACUAAAUACUUCGAAUAAUUUCUUGGAAGAUGCCAAGUGUAUUGGGUAUAAGCUGACCCCGGAUGGAAGAAACAGGAAUACAACCAGCUAGCAUUGAGUCAAAAGCUGAUCUCCUUGUAUAUGAAUCCCCUUGAGGCUGCAAGCAGAACAAAGAGCUCUGGAACAUCUGCAUUAUGCUGCUAGGAGGGUGGCACUUGCUCUCCCCAAAAUCACAUUCCAACAAUUUACAAACCUUAGACUUUUUGCACUGGUUGAUAAUAUGUCCUCUAAUAGAUUUUGGGUUAUCAGGAUGUGGUGCCCCUGCAAAGGAGAAAAGAAACUUUCGCUCCAACUUUCUCAUUCGAUCCUGCCAAACGAAAGCAUCAGCAUCCUUCGUCGGGUGGAAAUAAGUAGGAUAUGAUAUCCCAAAAUCAUUUGCAUUCCAUGGGCGUGACUCCACGACCAGCAUAAACAUGUUUUUGGCAGCCGGUAAGAAGAGAAGCCCAAAUCCAUUAACUCUAACCAUCAAUCUCAACUAAAAUCAUAAAUUUUGGGAAUCCAUUACAGCUAAGGAGAAGACAAGAGCAUCUCUUGUAUCAAUAUAUAGAGCCCAAAUCGUAAUCCGGUGUUCAAAAUAAAGACACGAUGAAUCACUCCAAAAAUAGCAUCAACCAAAUCCCUAAAUCAUCAUUCAGCAUCCGAAAACUGGGCAACAUAACAACAGAGCCCAUAUCCUACUUUGCUACCCUAAAAUGAGUAAACAGCUGUAAAAUCAUGAGAUACCCCCGUAAAACCUGAACAAGUCCUCAAAUCACAGCUACCAUAGAAAGAACUUAAUCCUAACUGCAACGGUGGAAGCCUAGAGACAUCAAAAAUAGCAGAAUUCGAAGGAAGAAAUCGACCAGAAAACCAAAAAAAGAAAAAGAAAAACUUCUUGGAUUGAAUCAAGACGAUAAAUGAACUAAAAAUCAGAUCUUGAGAAUGAAAAGAAGGGGAAGAAGAGAUCAGUGAGAGAGUGGGAGAGUGUAUACUUAGAGAGCACGAGAGAGGAAUCGACGCCGAGCUCUCUGUGCUGGACAAUUCAGCCAAUUUGAUAGCCAAAUUGAAAUCAAGGAUAAUUUUAUUAUUUUAAAAAAAUAAAAUAUCAUAUGAGCGUCGUAUGAUAGCAUUCCGUUAACGAAGAUAGACAGAAGUGCUAUAUUGAUACACUUCGAUAAUUUGGAGAGCUUAAUUGAGACGUUUUAAACUUAAGGAGUUACAAGUAAAAUUGAAAUAAAUUUGAAGGGUGUCCGUAUAAUUUUUUCUAUUUUAUAAUUGCUAUGGCAUGAUUCUUUGGGAUUGGGAGGAUCACGAUAUUAGGAAUGUACAUUGCCAUGAUUUUUUUGGGAUUAGGAGAAUCAUGAUAUUAGGAAUAUACAUUACCAUGGCAUGAUUUUUUGAGAUUGAGAGGAUCACGUGACUGAUAUCAUAAUCUCUCAAUUUUUUGUCUGAUUUUCUCUUCUUCACCUCUAUAUAUGGAUGUACGUAUCACAGUAAAAUAUAGUAAAGAAAUAUUUUUCACUUGCGUUUCUCCUUUCUCCACUCAUUCCUUCAUCUCUUGGGCAUUUCUUUAUACUGAGGAUUUAGGCUAGAGAUGGCUACAGACAACUGCUUUGUUUGAGCAGCAAGUCAACAUGAAUUGUAUUGCCUGCAAGCCAUUCUCUGGGUUGAUUCCUUCUGCGAGGAAUAUGAGCUGCUAUAUGUGUCAAGAUCGUUUGCUUCCAUGCAAGAACAUCCUGCAGUAAUGGGUUGUUCAUCCAUGUGCACAUAAGGAGGGCUUGUUAAUCCAAGACAAAGUGGGUAAAGUUGGAUUUUGGAUUAGUAACGUGAACGAGUGACUCACGUUCCAACAGUUUGGUUGAAGAAGAGUCCUAUAUUCAUUCCAAUCCUAGAAAAAAUGAGAAUUACCCUAAUCCCUCAAAAUACAAUCUGUACUUUCCUUUAAUAUCCAAAUUCCAUCCCAAUUCUAAUUUUGAUCGUGAACCUAUCGCAUCGAAGGGUAUGGCUAUUUCGAUUCUUAUUACAAUCUAUUAUGAUACCGACUCUGGGCUAUUCUGAUCAUGUACCAAAUGCACCAUUUUUACCUUAUUUCUUGCAUAUAGAUUUAGGGGGACAAAGGAGAGACUUGCAUGUUAAAACGAUAUUUGUAUAUGCAAUGUUUUGUAGACUACUCGUGGACACCAAAAACGGAUGGAGCCGGUGAGAGACUAAUCCUAUUUGACUGAACAAACUCAUCCUUCAUCCAAUCAAGACCACUAAACAAAGCUACCAAACAAUUGCUGGUAUCACAGUGUUUCAUUAUGAGGUGCAAAGACCAUGCUAUCGUUGCCAGUGGGCUGUACAUAUCAAAAGGUCAUCUUUGCUGAUGUACAUACAUGCAUGUGCGUCAUAAAACGAUAAUAAUAAUAAAAAAAAAUCACGAGGGAGACGUACAUCGACAUUUUUUAAAAAAAAUUGUUUGGUAAACAACAUCGCCAUUCAAAUACUGUACAUUAAACAACAUCGCCAGCAACGCAACGCAAGGCAGUCCCUGUUGCGCAAUGAACCGCGUGUAAAGGUAGACCCGCUCUCGCUCUCCAAUUGCUCCAGUUUUCCACCAUGCGGACGGACUGGUCGUCUAGCGCAGUCUUAUUAUAACAAACGAAAUGGUGACCUACCAUCUCCCUCGCCAACUUUGAAUUCUUUGAACCUGGAAGUCAAGUCGGGAGCCCAGGUUCAUCCCCUCUGGGCCCUGGCCAUAGAAAAAUAAAAUUGUUUCUUUUACCCUUACUUUAUCGGAUGACUCUGAAGAGACUUUCACUUCUACUUGAUGAAGCAGGACGAGAUGAGAACCGUGAGUCCUGCAACCGCCAGUAGGACUCUUGAGAUCCACCUGCUCCCCCAGAUGAAAGAGGCCACGUUACUCAUUAGGGGACGCCAAUAGCAAAACCGGAUUCCGAAACAGCUGAGUGGGAUCUGAUCCGGUAAAUAAAAAAAUAAAAAAAAUUAUAAAAAUAUCUUUCAACUUUAAUUCAAUUUUAUUUAUAUUUUUUAUAUUUUAAAAAAUAUCAAACUAAUCCUUCUAAUUAUCGAUAUAUUUUAAUAUAAUCCAACGAUCUAUCUCUAUUAACAAAAAUUUAUAAAAUAUCAAAAAUAUCCUUACCUUAAUCUUCUUUCUCUUCCUUUCUUUUUCCUUUUUCCUCUCCGAUUGAUCUCCUCCAUCAUCACCAGUAUUCCUCUUUCUCCCUUCUCCCUUCUCCCUUCUCCUCUCCUUUCUCCUUCUCUCCUUCCUUCUUAUCCAAUUUCUCCUCUCUCCUCCUCUCUUUUUCCUUUUUCUCCCUUCUUUCUCCUUUCCUUUCUCCAUCUCCUCCCCUUCAUCCCCAUCCACUUCUCAUUCUCAUCCUCCUCCUCCAAACCACUCGUAGAUCAUUCCUCUCCACCUUCGUCUCUUCUUGCCUUCUCCAUCUUCUUUCUUCCAUUUUCUUCUCCUCCUUGUCCUCCUCCUCCAUCUCAUUUCUUGCCAGUAGCCCUUCUUCCUUCUUUUCCUUCCUCCUCAUCUUCUUUCUUCUCCUUAUCCUCUUUUUUUCUAAGCUAACUCACGGGUCCCAUCCUUUUAUAUAGCCCCUCUCUACAUCCACCUCUUCUCAUCAGUAAAAUAUCUUUUCCUCUCUUCUUUCUUCUUACUCAUUUCUCCUUUUUUUAUGGUGGCUUCCUCUAUCUCUUUUCCUUCUUUCUUAUCUAUUUUGCCUUCUCAUUUUUCUCCUCCUCCAAAUCGUUAAUAAACCAUUGCCUUCACGAUGGCCCUUUCCACUUCUAUCUUUCUCGUUGAUAACUCAUUCUUCUCCCUUUUCUUCCUCUCCAUUUUUUUUUUUUUCUUGUUCUUUUUUCCUCUAACUCAUUUCUCAUCAGGGACCUCCUCCCACUUUUCUUCAUCUAUUUCUUUUUUCAUUUUCUUCCCAUCUCAAAUUCAUUUAUGAGUAAAAAAUAUUUUAGUUUAUUAAAAAAUUAAUAUUAUUUAUUGAUAAAAUAAAUAAUUAAAUCAAAAUAUAUUGGUAAUUAAAAAAAUAAUUUGAUAUUUUUUAAAUAUAAAAAUAUAAAUUAAAUUAAAUUAAAAUUUAUAUUAAUUUUUUAAAAAAAUAAUGAGAGAAACGGGGCCAGAAAGUAACUGACUGGGUGGGGUGGGGGUGGGGGUGGUGUAAAACAGAAUAUCUAGUGGCUUCGCAACGGGGGGACGAACCAGCCGGAUGGAUGAUGGGGGAUAGGAAAAGAACGCGGGUUAGGUGGUGCGCGAGAGUGCAAGGGGAGGAAUCGGUCGUUUCGGGACAGAUGCAAUGCACCUGGCGAUUACGUGGUGACGAUUAUUUAUACUCAUCCCACACCGUUCGGGCCGUUCUUCGCACUCUCUCUCUCUCCCUCUGGUCGGUACCGCUAUUUACAUACACAACAUCAUUCUCUCUCUCUUCUUCUCCGCCCCAGAGAUCCAAUCCGUCCAUCCCCUCCUCCCAACCUGUCGCCAUCUCGAGCUCACGUCAUCCCAUCGAUCCACCCCCCCUCCCGCUUUUGAUAAAAAAAAAAAAGAAAGCUGAAGGGGGAGAGCCAGUAGACCAUCAAACCUUUUCCUCCUCCUCCUCGCUCGUGUUUUUCUCUUUUGGUUUUUGCCCUACUUAUCCCAUCGGAGUAGGGUUUCUUGGAUGAGAGCGGGAAUUAUUGCCGUGGGAUGCAUUCAGCGGCCGAAGGAUUGGCCGAUCCUGUUGUAGCGGUGUCCUUCCUCCUGAUCUUCCUUUUUCUUGUUGAUCUUUUCUUGUUUUCGUCGGUGGUUGGUUCCGGCUCCUCCCCGGGGGUACAGCGAUGCCGGCGCUCGUCAACUAUGGAGGUAUUCCUGGGAUCUUCCCUUCCUUCUCUCUCUUUCUUGAUGGGGCCUUGGAUCCGGAACUAGAUCUGUUUCUCUGCUUGAUCUGAGGCCUUCAAAAGAGUUUUGUAUUUGACAAUCAACCCCUCUUUUUCUUUCCCUUUCUCUUGUUUUUUUUUUUUUUGUUCUUUGUCUUUUUUGGGUUUCAAGAUCGAUGGGUCGAUCUGUUUCUGCUCUGCGACUUCGUUGUUUUUCUCUUUGCACUUGGUUUAGGCGGUGCUUGCGGUAUUCCUCUGGAUCGAUUUUAGGGUUUUGAUUUAAGAUUUUUCUAUAAUGGUUUUCUUGCGUCUUUGGUGGAGAUCGGCAUGGGAUUUUCGGAUUCGAUUCUGUUUUUGAUUUAAGAUUGUUCUUGUGAUGAUUUAGUUGUUUUCUUGCCUUUGGUGCAGAUCGGGUGGGGCUUUUCGAGAUUCUUUGACGAUUCUGGACGUAGAUCGAUUAUUGUUUUCCUUAUGCGGUUUUGUAGAUCUGCAAUUUAUAGAUCUAGUGUUCGUGGCUUUGAUUAUUAACUUUCAAACGUGCCACUCCGUUCUUCUUCAGGAGCUGUAUUUUUCAAGUAGAGAAUCACAUAAAAUUGUAGGUUUAGGUCUUUCUUCCUCUGUGAUGGAUCUAUAAUUUUUUCUUCUUCUUCUUCUUCUUCUUCUUUGAUCUUUUUCUUUCUUUUUUUUGGGUCUUUUUUAUUUUUUGUGGGGUGGGGGGGUGAUCUAUGCCAAUGAAUUUAGGGUUUUCAUCAUCAUCUUCCUCCUUCCAGCUGUUCUGUUAUUUAAAGCCCGGUUGCAAACGUUAGAGGUACACGGAUAUUCAUGAAACUCACCUUUUUUUUCUCCUUUUUCUGAUUCUCAGGAACUGAUGAUCUCUGCUCUGUGGGACCUCUCAUUUCGAACCUCAUGGAUUCGAGCCGCCUCUUGUCUCUCACUCCUAACGUUGAUGUCUUCUGCCCGCCUCGCAAGAGGUCACGGGUCACUGCUCCUUUCAUCUUUAAAGGAGGAGAGAAGCAGGGCGCUGAGAAGCAAAAGCAGCAGUCCUGCUCCAUCGAUGUUCUUCCUGACGAGUGCCUCUUUGAGAUCCUCCGGCGGUUGCCAGGAAAUAAGGAGAGGAGCAACUCUGCUUGUGUAUCCAAGCGUUGGCUUAUGCUCUUGAGCACCAUCCGGGCUUCUGAGAUGGCUGCUCACAAGAAUAAUUGCACCAGCGGCUGUGAGACCUUGAAGAAACCUUUGCCAGAUCUGAACAGUGCUAUGAGUACGGACGAGGAAGAGGAAUUCGAGAGCACUGGCUAUCUUACUCGGAAGUUAAAAGCAAAGGAUGCCACAGAUGUUAGACUUGCUGCUAUAGCUGUUGGUACUGGUGGCCAUGGUGGGCUGGGUAAGCUUUACAUUGAAGGAAGCAAUGCAACGCGUCCGCUCACUGAUAUUGGACUGUCUGCUGUGGCCCGUGGUUGCCCUUCCCUACGGGUUCUGUCAAUGUGGAAUGUUCCCUUCAUCAGUGACAUCGGCCUAUCCGAGAUUGCAAGUGGGUGCCCUACGCUGGAAAAGCUUGACCUCUGCCAGUGUCCUUUAAUCUCAGAUAAGGGUUUGAUAGCUGUUGCUCAGAAGUGUCCCAACUUGACAUCUCUGAUGGUAGAAUCUUGCUUGAGCAUAGGCAAUGAAGGCCUGCAGGCUAUUGGUCGCUGCUGCCCAAAGUUGAAGUCUAUUGUUAUUAAGGACUGCCCACGUAUUGGUGACCAAGGAGUUGCAAGCCUGGUCUCUGCAGCUUCAUCUUUUCUAGCCAGGAUUAGGCUUGAGAAUGUGAAUAUCAGUGAUGUGUCUCUUGCUGUCAUUGGGCACUAUGGGAAGGCUGUUGCUGAUCUAGCACUUACUGGCCUCCAGUCAGUAAGUGAGAGGGGUUUCUGGGUCAUGGGCAAUGCUUUUGGCCUGCAGAACUUGAAGUCUAUCAUGAUCAACUCUUGCCGUGGGGUUACUGAUCUGGGCCUUGAGGCCAUUGCAAAGGGUUGCCCAAAUCUAAAGCAGCUGUGCCUCCGCAGGUGUUGCUAUCUGUCAGAUGCUGGCCUGAAAGCUUUUGCCGUAACAGCUAGGGCACUGGAGAAUCUGCAUCUGGAGGAGUGUAACCGGAUCAGUCUAAUUGGUGUUCUUGGCUGUCUUCUGAACUGCAAUGAAAAAUUCAGGGCACUAUCCUUGGUGAAAUGCUUGGGGAUCAAGGAUAUAAGUUUCUGCACAGCCCCACUCCCCUCAUGCUUGUCUCUUCGAUCCUUGACCAUCCGUGACUGCCCUGGUUUCACUGGUGCUAGCUUAGCAGUGGUUGGGAAGAUCUGCCCACAAUUGCAGCAUGUAGAUUUGAGCGGCCUAGUUGGUGCGACUGAUGCAGGCCUUCUGCCUCUGAUUGAAAGUUCAGAGGUGGGACUAGUUACAGUCAAUUUGAGUGGCUGUGUUGAUCUGACAGAUGCUGUUGUCACUGCACUGGUGAAGGCACAUGGAAGUACUCUCCAGAUGCUUAAUCUUGAAGGCUGUAAGAAGGUUACUGAUAAGAGCCUCUUAUUGAUUGCAGACAGUUGCUCUUUUCUUGAUGAUCUUGACAUGUCGAGGUGCAUGAUUGGUGAUUAUGGUAUUGCAGUCCUGGCGUCUGCAAGUCAGCUUAAGAUGCGAGUCCUCUCUCUCGCUGGCUGCUCUAAUCUGACCCAAAAGAUUGUGCCGUUCUUGGGCAACAUGGGCAGAUCCUUGGUGGGGCUGAACCUCCAAAACUGUAAGCUGAUCAGUACUCAAGAGAUUGGAGCACUCGAGGAGAAGCUGUGGUGGUGUGAUAUCUUUUACUAGAAGAUCGGAGAGAGGGGUGCAGGAGAUUCUUUGGUCGGUCCAUUGAUGGGAGUCUCCAGCACCAGAUGACAGAUAAAAACAGCAGUAGCAUCAGCAGUUUUAAAUUUCCAGUUGGUUUUUGGCUCGUGUCAUAGGCAGUGGGCUUUCUUCUUUGUCGCAGGACUUGGUUGUUUUUCAGGGACCUUUGGCCAGUCUUACUUUUUUGCAGAUUCUCCUCUUUUAGAGGGGAAGCCUGUUUCAGAGUGUUUGGCUGCCGCUGAUUGGCUAGCUUUCCUCUAUCCUGGUCUUGGUUCUUGAGAUCACAACUUAUGCCUAGUCCUGGUUCAUAGUGGUCUUUUUGAAUCAGUGCUUGUUUAUGUCAUUUCUAGGUGUCUUUUUUUAAGCGGGUCCUGGUUAUGUAUCGCUGAGGCAGCUGCAUCUGUCGCUGCUCGUGUUUUAGCCAAGCCUCAUUGGUAGUUGAAGCUCGUGUCUGAAGUUUCAAUCAGGUCUUGUAGGUGUUGUUCCAGUUUGGACUCGUGUCCUCUGAGUCGGAUCUGUUUGGUUCUAUUAGUGUUGGUCUCGUCUGGUUGCUUUUGCACAGUUCUGUUUGGUUGCCUGAGAUUUAUGGGGCUUUGGUUAUGGCAGCACAUACUUGGAGCGUGCCAUGACAGCCUUGUUUGGUUGUUUUUUCCACCAAGCCCUACUUUUGCAGGCUGAUGGCUGAGGACUGUAAUCUUUGCAACCUUUCUUAUAAUGAGUAAUUCUUAUGUUAAAUGUCCAGUGUUUAAUGCUUUCAGAGACUGGUUUGGAAGUUUAUGUUUUCUGUUCCAGCUUUUAUGAAUGUGAAGUCUUCUGCUCUUGCAUCCGGUUUGGAAUACCUUUCAGGACGGCUGGGGCCUUUAGCACUGCACUGUGUUAUUCUGGUUUACAUUGGGAGACUUUGAAAGAAUGAUUGUAAUGUUGGUCGCUGCUAAUAGUGGCAUGAAAGUUUGGUAAAAUUCUGGUUCUUUCAUGGGACAUAAGGAAAAGUUUUGUUCAUUUCAUGAACUCAUGAACUCAAGCAACUUACGUUGUAGUCUUAUAUGAUAAGUUGGGAUGAUGAUGCGUUCUCUUCUUUCCAACCUCGAGAGGGCUGGUCUUGGACCUUGGUGCUACGGUAUGUUGUGACGUGCAGGCGAUCUCGUGCUACGGUAUGUUGUGACGUGCAGGCUAUCUUGUGUUUUUGAAGUCUCAGUGACAGUAAGGAUUCUUUUAUGUCUUGAUUGGAACGUGCUAGAACCCAACUUGUUAGGCUUUUUAACCACUUUUCAUGGGGGUUAUGCCAAGUAGGGAAUUAGCUUCUUUUGUUGAUAUUGCCCCAUUUAGUCCCUCCUUUCUGCUACGCGCCUCAAAAAGAGGCCCAGACAGACCCAGAGGGCAUAGCAGCUUCCUCCAAAGAUUGCCCACCCAGAGGGCAUAGAGGCUUCCUCCAAAGCUUGCCCACCCAUAUGAUCGUGGGGGUCGUUCUCGUCGUUUUUUUUUUGGAUAAUUCUCUCUAUUGAGGAGUGAGUCAUUUUUCUAAUCAGAAUAAAUUGAUCCUCGGAUGAGGAGAUGACUUGCCGCUUCAACAUGUAUUAACAACCCCUCUAGUGAAAGAAGAGCAUGGAGGGCAGAAGACCCGGAGUAGCCUCGAGGAGAGAGUUGAAAACAAGUCCUUGGAUGGCGAACGACCUCAAGCUCAAACAUUAACCGACCAAAUCACCGACGAACCUCAACAUAGAGAUCUAAAUCUUCUUCUGAAAAAAUACAAUACCGC
Molecule: long non-coding RNA, 39294 nt
Filed under: Elaeis guineensis (African oil palm)
Lineage: Eukaryota; Viridiplantae; Streptophyta; Magnoliopsida; Arecales; Arecaceae
Description: long non-coding RNA (EGUI_LNC042290)
Source: RNAcentral